AGAACGAACGCUGGCGGCAGGCUUAACACAUGCAAGUCGAGCGCUGUAGCAAUACAGAGCGGCAGACGGGUGAGUAACGCGUGGGAACAUACCCUCCGGUUCGGAAUAACUCAGGGAAACUUGAGCUAAUACCGAAUACGGUCGAGAGGCGAAAGAUUUAUCGCCGGAGGAUUGGCCCGCGUUCGAUUAGCUAGUUGGUGAGGUAACGGCUCACCAAGGCGACGAUCGAUAGCUGGUCUGAGAGGAUGAUCAGCCACAUUGGGACUGAGACACGGCCCAAACUCCUACGGGAGGCAGCAGUGGGGAAUAUUGGACAAUGGGCGAAAGCCUGAUCCAGCCAUGCCGCGUGAGUGAUGACGGCCUUAGGGUUGUAAAGCUCUUUCGCUAGGGACGAUAAUGACGGUACCUAGACAAGAAGCCCCGGCUAACUUCGCGCCAGCACGCCGC
RNAcentral lists this ribosomal RNA (447 nucleotides) under uncultured bacterium. Its description in RNAcentral is "SSU rRNA". It matches the Rfam family "Bacterial small subunit ribosomal RNA", at positions 26 to 518 of the family's 1533-position model. The record is from RNAcentral.